RNAcentral lists this ribosomal RNA (253 nucleotides) under uncultured bacterium. RNAcentral's name for it is "partial 16S ribosomal RNA". It matches the Rfam family "Bacterial small subunit ribosomal RNA", at positions 524 to 776 of the family's 1533-position model. The record is from RNAcentral.
UACGUAGGGGGCUAGCGUUGUCCGGAAUCAUUGGGCGUAAAGCGUGUGUAGGCGGUCCGGUAAGUCCGCUGUGAAAGUCGGGGGCUCAACCCUCGAAUGCCGGUGGAUACUGUCGGGCUAGAGUACGGAAGAGGCGAGUGGAAUUCCUGGUGUAGCGGUGAAAUGCGCAGAUAUCAGGAGGAACACCAAUUGCGAAGGCAGCUCGCUGGGACGUUACUGACGCUGAGACGCGAAAGCGUGGGGAGCAAACAGG